Molecule: ribosomal RNA, 508 nt
Filed under: uncultured bacterium
Lineage: Bacteria
Description: partial 16S ribosomal RNA
Rfam family: Bacterial small subunit ribosomal RNA
Source: RNAcentral
GAUGAACGCUAGCUACAGGCUUAACACAUGCAAGUCGAGGGGAAACGACAUCGAAAGCUUGCUUCCGAUGGGCGUCGACCGGCGCACGGGUGAGUAACGCGUAUCCAACCUGCCCACCACUUGGGGAUAACCUUGCGAAAGUAAGACUAAUACCCAAUGAUAUCUCUAGAAGACAUCUGAAAGAGAUUAAAGAUUUAUCGGUGAUGGAUGGGGAUGCGUCUGAUUAGCUUGUUGGCGGGGUAACGGCCCACCAAGGCGACGAUCAGUAGGGGUUCUGAGAGGAAGGUCCCCCACAUUGGAACUGAGACACGGUCCAAACUCCUACGGGAGGCAGCAGUGAGGAAUAUUGGUCAAUGGACGAGAGUCUGAACCAGCCAAGUAGCGUGCAGGAAGACGGCCCUAUGGGUUGUAAACUGCUUUUAUAAGGGAAUAAAGUGAGUCUCGUGAGACUUUUUGCAUGUACCUUAUGAAUAAGGACCGGCUAAUUCCGUGCCAGCCGCCGCCGUAA